Molecule: ribosomal RNA, 255 nt
Filed under: Ectopseudomonas oleovorans
Lineage: Bacteria; Pseudomonadati; Pseudomonadota; Gammaproteobacteria; Pseudomonadales; Pseudomonadaceae
Description: Pseudomonas oleovorans 23S ribosomal RNA
Rfam family: Bacterial large subunit ribosomal RNA
Source: RNAcentral
AAAGCGUAGGCGAUGGGAAACGGGUUAAUAUUCCCGUACUUCUAGUUACUGCGAUGGAGGGACGGAGAAGGCUAGGCCAGCACGGCGUUGGUUGUCCGUGUUUAAGGUGGUAGGCUGAGAUCUUAGGUAAAUCCGGGAUCUUAAGGCCGAGAGCUGAUGACGAGCGUUCUUUUAGAAUGCGAAGUGGUUGAUGCCAUGCUUCCAGGAAAAGCUUCUAAGCUUCAGGUAACUAGGAACCGUACCCAAAACCGACAC